CAGCCGUAAACAAUGUGCGUUAGGUGUGUCGGUAACCACGUGUUACUGAUGCGCCGAAGAGAAAUCGUGAAACGCACCACCUGGGAAGUACGGUCGCAAGGCUGAAACUUAAAGGAAUUGGCGGGGGGAGCACCACAACAGGUGGAGCCUGCGGUUUAAUUGGAUUCAACACCGUAAAACUCACCAGGGAAGACUGUUACAUGAAAGCCGAGUUGAAGACUCUGCUAGAUUUUUCAGAGAGGAGGUGCAUGGCGUAGUCGUGU
Molecule: ribosomal RNA, 263 nt
Filed under: uncultured archaeon
Lineage: Archaea
Description: partial 16S ribosomal RNA
Rfam family: Archaeal small subunit ribosomal RNA
Source: RNAcentral